Long non-coding RNA from Homo sapiens (human), 1234 nucleotides. RefSeq lists it as uncharacterized. The record is from RefSeq and is a predicted model, not a curated record. NCBI's taxonomy places the organism in Eukaryota, Metazoa, Chordata, Mammalia, Primates, Hominidae. The transcript has 2 exons.
ACUUUAUAUGUUAACUUACAGGUUGUUUUGGGGUGAGAUAAACAUUUAAAUUGGUGAACUUUGAGAGGAAAAUUAGAAGACAAGUAUCCUCAUUUCCACCUGGAUCCAGUCUUUCUUCCUUAUUACUUUUAUUAACAAUAUCAGUUAAGGUUUAUAUGGAUGUCUUGCUUUGGCCUGUACAAAAAACUACUUUGUAUAUGCCUUAUUUUAUUAAUUUUGCUUCUGAAUUUCAUCAAAUUCUCUGAUCAUAACUCUAUAUUCUUGUAAGGAAUGCUCAGAAUUAUACUAUUUCACUCCAAAUUUUAUUAUUAUUGAGACGAAACUGGGUAUAGAAAGUUGUGGGACCAGUUUGUAAUUUAUUGCUUUAAAAUUUGGUCAAGCCACUCAAAUUCUCUAGCUGUACCUAUGAAAUAGCUUUAAUAUUUCAAUCCCCUGCAUUUUCUUUGAAUAAUAUGGAGUUUGAAUUGAAGUGGUCCUGAAUUUGAGUGCUGCAUAUGCUACUUUUGAGAUAUGUGAUCUUGAGCAAGUUGCUUAAUCACAUUAAACCUCAAUUCUCUCAUCUUUAAAAUAGAAAAAAUAAUAGCUACUUUACAGUGUUGAGAAAAGAAUAAGAUGAAACAGUUUAUUAAAAACAUAGAAGAGUGCUUAAGACAUAAUAAAGUCUACAUAAAUUGUGCCUAUUGUUAUUACUAAUAAAAAAAAAAGAAAUUCUACGUGUCAGGAAUUUGAACAAAUUACAGCUGGAUUUGCAUAUUUCUUCCACAAGAUGUAUGUGGUCCCAUCUGAUAAUAGGGAAUUGGUUGGUAACUGGAAUCUUCUUGGAAACCUCUUAAAUCACAGAUCUUGCACUUGUACUGGGAUAAUCUGGAGUGUGUGCUCCUCUGAGUUUGUUGACCAAAUCACCUACAGGUGAACUCUCCAUAUAUGUAUUUUCCUAGUCAAUUCCUACACUGACCUCAAGCAAACACUGAUCAGCUUUCUGUCAUAAUAGAUGCGAUUUACUUUUUUAGAAUUUAAUAAAACUCAAAUUAUACUGUAUGCAUCCUUUUGUGUCUGGAUUGCUUUUUUUUCUCUGCCUUACAUUGUUGAAUAUAUUCUAGGUAUGUUUUACUAAUUGCUUGGUUGUAUAUUAAUGCAUACUGCAUUUUGUUUAUCCAUUCAACUAUUGAUGGAAAUUGGAGUUGUUUUCAGUUUCUGGUUAUAAAUAAAACAGCUAUGAACAUUUACAUACCAA